AUUUAAAUAGCUUAAAUAAUAGAGUAUGAUAUUGAAGAUAUUAUGGUGAUUUUGAUAAUCUUUAAAUA
RNAcentral lists this transfer RNA (68 nucleotides) under Ampittia dioscorides. RNAcentral describes it as "tRNA-Phe". Lineage: Eukaryota; Metazoa; Arthropoda; Insecta; Lepidoptera; Hesperiidae. RNAcentral also lists the same sequence under 1 other name. The record is from RNAcentral.